RNAcentral lists this ribosomal RNA (277 nucleotides) under uncultured bacterium. RNAcentral's name for it is "partial 16S ribosomal RNA". It matches the Rfam family "Bacterial small subunit ribosomal RNA", at positions 28 to 290 of the family's 1533-position model. The record is from RNAcentral.
GACGAACGCUGGCGGCGCACCUAAGACAUGCAAGUCGAACGGUCGUCUUUCCUUCGCAAGAAGGGAAGGGGAUAGUGGCGGACGGGUGAGUAACACAUAAGGGACCUGCCCUAGAGUGGGGGAUAGCCUGGGGAAACCGAGGGUAAGCCCGCAUACGCUCCCUGGCAUAGCGGCGGGGGAGGAAAUACGUCCGCAAGGACGGAGCUCUAGGAGGGGCUUGUGGCGGAUUAGCUAGUUGGGGGGGUAGAGGCCCACCAAGGCGACGAUCCGUAGCUGG